This is a non-coding RNA of Pseudomonas alkylphenolica, 120 nucleotides long. Lineage: Bacteria; Pseudomonadati; Pseudomonadota; Gammaproteobacteria; Pseudomonadales; Pseudomonadaceae. The record is from Rfam.
CGCUCCGUCCUAGGGGAGUAGUCUCCCGCGAGCACCCAGCUCGCCCGGUACGCGUCAACAUACUUGGUCCACAGACCAUGGCGCGUGCGACCCACGGUCCGCACAGACGGACCCAGGGUU